UCUGCCCUCUCUCAAAAUCAUCUUGCCUCAAAUCUCUCUCGUCCAAAUCCAUCCCUCUCAAAAUCCCCUCGCUGGAAACUCUCUUGCCCAAAUCCUAAAUAACUCAUCAAUUCUUCCAUUUCAAGAAAAAGAACUUAGGAGGCCAAUAACUGAAGGCUGAGGCAUUCAAGGCUACAUACACAAGGCUGACCUAUAAUCGAUAUCUGCAAUGUAUAGAGGAUUUUUGUCAAACUCUGCCAGAAGAUAGGCGAGACCUACCACUUAGCCAAGAGUAGAAUGAGAGAAUGCAUGCGGUUGGUGGCCUAAGUAGGUAAUAGCUGAGCUAUCUAAAGAAGCUAAUGCCUCGCAGGGUAGGGAAAGGCAAAGAGAUAUACAGUAUGCAGGAAUGAAGGCCCAAUUCGAUGGAUUACUUGCUUCGGGAGAAUUCCCCCUUGUCCCGAUGAUGUAGUGCGCCCUCCUCGACCUCCAGUCUCUACCUAUUUCACAUGGAGUACAUGGUCAAUACAAAGAUGUGACUAAGGAGCCCAGUAGUAAUGAAAAUGAUAAGGAUUACUAUGUGGACAAUACACCGCCGCGUUGUUAAAGUUGAAUGUUGUCUAGAUAAUUCAAACUAUAUACUUCAUGGUGGUUUAUUUGAAUUCUUAGGUGUUUUUGAAUGCAUUAAA
Long non-coding RNA from Capsicum annuum, 665 nucleotides. RefSeq lists it as uncharacterized. The transcript is spliced from 4 exons. The record is from RefSeq and is a predicted model, not a curated record. NCBI's taxonomy places the organism in Eukaryota, Viridiplantae, Streptophyta, Magnoliopsida, Solanales, Solanaceae.